Molecule: ribosomal RNA, 447 nt
Filed under: uncultured bacterium
Lineage: Bacteria
Description: bacterial SSU rRNA
Rfam family: Bacterial small subunit ribosomal RNA
Source: RNAcentral
UCGGGAAUUUUGGGCAAUGGGGGAAACCCUGACCCAGCAACGCCGCGUGAAGGAUGAAGUAUUUCGGUAUGUAAACUUCGAAAGAAUAGGAAGAAUAAAUGACGGUACUAUUUAUAAGGUCCGGCUAACUACGUGCCAGCAGCCGCGGUAAUACGUAGGGACCAAGCGUUGUUCGGAUUUACUGGGCGUAAAGGGCGCGUAGGCGGCAUGACAAGUCACUUGUGAAAUCUCUGGGCUUAACCCAGAACGGCCAAGUGAUACUGUCGCGCUAGAGUGCAGAAGGGGCAAUCGGAAUUCUUGGUGUAGCGGUGAAAUGCGUAGAUAUCUGGAGGAAUACCGGUGGCGAAGGCGGCAUCCUGGACCAUUACUGACGCUGAGGCGCGAAAGCUAGGGGAGCAAACGGGAUUAGAUACCCAAGUAGUCCCUGAGCGGGCUGGCAAGGCGCAU